RNAcentral lists this ribosomal RNA (502 nucleotides) under uncultured Caryophanales bacterium. RNAcentral's name for it is "bacterial SSU rRNA". It matches the Rfam family "Bacterial small subunit ribosomal RNA", at positions 28 to 507 of the family's 1533-position model. The record is from RNAcentral. Lineage: Bacteria; Bacillati; Bacillota; Bacilli; Caryophanales.
CGUGACGCGAGAGACGCUGGCGGCGUGCCUAAUACAUGCAAGUCGAGCGAAUGACGAGAAGCUUGCUUCUCUGAUUUAGCGGCGGACGGGUGAGUAACACGUGGGUAACCUGCCCUGUAGACUGGGAUAACUUCGGGAAACCGGAGCUAAUACCGGAUAAUUCUUUUAGCCUCAUGGCUUUAAGCUGAAAGGCGCUUCGGCGUCACUACAGGAUGGACCCGCGGUGCAUUAGCUAGUUGGUGAGGUAACGGCUCACCAAGGCAACGAUGCAUAGCCGACCUGAGAGGGUGAUCGGCCACAUUGGGACUGAGACACGGCCCAAACUCCUACGGGAGGCAGCAGUAGGGAAUCUUCCACAAUGGACGAAAGUCUGAUGGAGCAACGCCGCGUGAGUGAUGAAGGUUUUCGGAUCGUAAAACUCUGUUGUAAGGGAAGAAUAAGUGCGUUAGGUAAUGAACGCACCUUGACGGUACCUUAUCAGAAAGCCACGGCUAACUACGUG